Molecule: transfer RNA, 78 nt
Filed under: Candidatus Bathyarchaeota archaeon
Lineage: Archaea; Thermoproteati; Candidatus Bathyarchaeota
Description: tRNA-Ala
Rfam family: tRNA
About the family: Transfer RNA (tRNA) molecules are approximately 80 nucleotides in length. Their secondary structure includes four short double-helical elements and three loops (D, anti-codon, and T loops).
Source: RNAcentral
GGGCCGGUAGAUCAGCGUGGAAUGAUCGUCCGCUUGGCAUGCGGAAGGUCCCGGGUUCAAGUCCCGGCCGGUCCACCA